This is a long non-coding RNA of Zootermopsis nevadensis, 543 nucleotides long. RefSeq lists it as uncharacterized. NCBI's taxonomy places the organism in Eukaryota, Metazoa, Arthropoda, Insecta, Blattodea, Termopsidae. The record is from RefSeq and is a predicted model, not a curated record.
GAAUAGCAUUACGCAUGCGUACUGCGGUCUGUCACGCUAUUACUGCAAAUAAAGACAUUCAGUUAGCCACGUGGGAAGUAUUGAGACUGGUGAACGUGUAGUGACUGACCUCUUGCAAGAAAAGUGUUUUGAAUUCUGGCGGUGAUGGAAUCUUCGAAUUACUGAACAGCGAUCAAGAGAUAUGCGGUAAAUGUUUUUAGCUCAGGUCAUAAGCAAGAAACUGCAGGCAAGCAUGUCACCCAACUUCCACUUACGAUUCGUCGUCCCAGGUUUUUUAAUUAUUAUUCACCGACAGUAAUGCUGUUAGAAUUUCCAGCCACUGUAACAUCACUACAGAACGUCAGAAGGGGGGUCAGACUGUUGAUACGGAGUGUUAUCGAUCGUGAAAGCAACCGUAAAAUAAAUUAUAGGAGGAGAUAAAAUAAACUGUUUAUUUCUUAAAUUAGAUGGAAUGAAACUAUGUCAGUAUAUACGACUGUCCUACGUAACAGAUAACAUUUCCAUUUGGAAAGAUAUUCAAAUAAAAAGUACAUGAAACCAUUC